GAUGAACGCUGGCGGCGUGCCUAAUACAUGCAAGUCGAGCGAACAGACGAGGAGCUUGCUCCUCUGACGUUAGCGGCGGACGGGUGAGUAACACGUGGAUAACCUACCUAUAAGACUGGGAUAACUUCGGGAAACCGGAGCUAAUACCGGAUAAUAUAUUGAACCGCAUGGUUCAAUAGUGAAAGACGGUUUUGCUGUCACUUAUAGGUGGAUCCGCGCCGCAUUAGCUAGUUGGUAAGGUAACGGCUUACCAAGGCAACGAUGCGUAGCCGACCUGAGAGGGUGAUCGGCCACACUGGGACUGAGACACGGUCCAGACUCCUACGGGAGGCAGCAGUAGGGAAUCUUCCGCAAUGGGCGAAAGCCUGACGGAGCAACGCCGCGUGAGUGAUGAAGGUCUUCGGAUCGUAAAACUCUGUUAUUAGGGAAGAACAAAUGUGUAAGUAACUAUGCACGUCUUGACGGUACCUAAUCAGAAAGCCACGGCUAACUACGUG
RNAcentral lists this ribosomal RNA (497 nucleotides) under uncultured bacterium. RNAcentral describes it as "partial 16S ribosomal RNA". It matches the Rfam family "Bacterial small subunit ribosomal RNA", at positions 28 to 507 of the family's 1533-position model. The record is from RNAcentral.